GUUUGGGAUUGAGGGAUGACAGCCA
Molecule: non-coding RNA, 25 nt
Filed under: Cricetulus griseus (Chinese hamster)
Lineage: Eukaryota; Metazoa; Chordata; Mammalia; Rodentia; Cricetidae
Source: RNAcentral